UGCCUGUAACUUUUUUAUUAUUUUAGUUAGGAGGGUGAUUUAAAUAGUGAGGGAUUGAGAAAGGUUAAAGGAUCACUUUAUGUCUCUAUAAAUUUUUUGAGAAAUAAUUACUUUUUGAGAAAUCCCCCAAAAUGGAGUCAGACAGUUGUAAAAAAAAUUGUCCUCUAACAAAAUUGCCUGUAACUUCUUUAUUAUUUUAGUUAGGAGGGUGAUUUAAAUAGUGAGGGAUUGAGAGAGGCUAAAGGGUCAUUUUAUGUCUCUAUAAAUUUUUUGAGAAAUAAUUACUUUUUGAGAAAUUGCCCAAAAUCGAGUCAGACAGUUGGAAAAAAAAUUGUCCUCUAACAAAAUUGCCUGUAACUUUUUUAAUAUUUUAGUUAGGAGGGUGAAUUAAAUAGUGAGGGAUUGAGAAAGGUUAAAGGGUCAUUUUAUGUCUCUAUAAAUUUUUUGAGAAAUAAUUACUUUUUGAGAAAUUGCUCGAAAUCGAGUCGGACAGUUGGAAAAAAAAUUGUUCUUUAACAAAAUUGCCUGUAACUUUUUUAUUAUUUUAGUUAGGAGGGUGAUUUAAAUAGGGAGGGAUUGAGAGAGGUUAAAGGGUCAUUUUAUGACUCUAUAAAUUUUUUGAGAAAUAAUUACUUUUUGAGAAAUCCCCCAAAAUGGAGUCAGACAGUUGUAAAAAAAAUUGUCCUCUAACAAAAUUGCCUGUAACUUCUUUAUUAUUUUAGUUAGGAGGGUGAUUUAAAUAGUGAGGGAUUGAGAGAGGCUAAAGGGUCAUUUUAUGUCUCUAUAAAUUUUUUGAGAAAUAAUUACUUUUUGAGAAAUUGCCCAAAAUCGAGUCAGACAGUUGGUAAAAAAAUUGUCCUCUAACAAAAUUGCCUGUAACUUUUUUAUUAUUUUAGUUAGGACGGUGAUUUAAAUAGGGAGGGAUUGAGAGAGGUUAAAGGGUCAUUUUAUGUCUCUACAAAUUUUUUGAGAAAUAAUUACUUUUUGAGAAAUUGCCCAAAAUCGAGUCAGACAGUUGGAAAAAAAAUUGUCCUCUAACAAAAUUACCUGUAGGUUCUUUAUUAUUUUAGUUAGGAGGGUGAUUUAAAUAGUGAGGGAUUGAGAAAGGUUAAAGGAUCACUUUAUGUCUCUAUAAAUUUUUUGAGAAAUAAUUACUUUUUGAGAAAUCCCCCAAAAUGGAGUCAGACAGUUGUAAAAAAAAUUGUCCUCUAACAAAAUUGCCUGUAACUUCUUUAUUAUUUUAGUUAGGAGGGUGAUUUAAAUAGUGAGGGAUUGAGAGAGGCUAAAGGGUCAUUUUAUGUCUCUAUAAAUUUUUUGAGAAAUAAUUACUUUUUGAGAAAUUGCCCAAAAUCGAGUCAGACAGUCGAAAAAAAAAUUGUCCUCUAACAAAAUUGCCUGUAACUUUUUUAUUAUUUUAGUUAGGAGGGUGAUUUAAAUAGUGAGGGAUUGAGAGAGGUUAAAGGGUCAUUUUAUGUCUCUAUAAAUUUUUUGAGAAAUAAUUACUUUUUGAGAAAUUGCCCAAAAUCGUGUCAGACAGUUGGAAUAAAAAUUGUCCUCUAACAAAAUUGCUUGUAACUUUUUUAUUAUUUUAGUUAGGAGGAUGAUUUAAAUAGUGAGGGAUUGAGAAAGGCUAAAGGGUCAUUUUAUGUCUCUAUAAAUUUUUUGAGAAAUAUUUACUUUUUGAGAAAUCCCCCAAAAUGGAGUCAGACAGUUGGAAAAAAAAUUGUCCUCUAACAAAAUUGCCUGUAACUUUUUUAAUAUUUUAGUUAGGAGGGUGAUUUAAACAGGGAGGGAUUGAGAAAGGUUAAAGGGUCAUUUUAUGUCUCUAUAAAUUUUUUGAGAAAUAAUUCCUUUUUGAGAAAUCCCCCAAAAUGGAGUCGGACAGUUGGAAAAAAAAUUGUCCUCUAACAAAAUUGCCUGUAACUUUUUUAAUAUUUUAGUUAGGAGGGUGAUUUAAACAGGGAGGGAUUGAGAAAGGUUAAAGGGUCAUUUUAUGUCUCUAUAAAUUUUUUGAGAAAUAAUUACUUUUUGAGAAAUUGCCCAAAAUCGAGUCAGACAGUCGAAAAAAAAAUUGUCCUCUAACAAAAUUGCCUGUAACUUUUUUAUUAUUUUAGUUAGGAGGGUGAUUUAAAUAGUGAGGGAUUGAGAGAGGUUAAAGGGUCAUUUUAUGUCUCUAUAAAUUUUUUGAGAAAUAAUUACUUUUUGAGAAAUUGCCCAAAAUCGUGUCAGACAGUUGGAAUAAAAAUUGUCCUCUAACAAAAUUGCUUGUAACUUUUUUAUUAUUUUAGUUAGGAGGGUGAUUUAAACAGGGAGGGAUUGAGAAAGGUUAAAGGGUCAUUUUAUGUCUCUAUAAAUUUUUUGAGAAAUAAUGACUUUUUGAGAAAUCCCCCAAAAUGGAGUCAGACAGUUGGAAAAAAAAUUGUUCUCUAACAAAAUUGCCUGUAACUUUUUUAUUAUUUUAGUUAGGAGGGUGAUUUAAAUAGUGAGGGAUUGAGAGAGGUUAAAGGGUCAUUUUAUGUCUCUAUAAAUUUUUUGAGAAAUAAUUACUUUUUGAGAAAUUGCCCAAAAUCGAGUCAGACAGUUGGAAAAAAAAUUGUCCUCUAACAAAAUUGCCUGUAACUUUUUUACUAUUUUAGUUAGGAGGGUGAUUGAAAUAGUGAGGGAUUGAGAAAGGUUAAAGGGUCAUUUUAUGUCUCUACAAAUUUUUUGAGAAAUAAUUACUUUUUGAGAAAUUGCCCAAAAUCGAGUCAGACAGUUGGAAAAAAAAUUGUCCUCUAACAAAAUUGCCUGUAACUUUUUUAAUAUUUUAGUUAGGAGGGUGAUUUAAAUAGUGAGGGAUUGAGAGAGGUUAAAGGGUCAUUUUAUGUUUCUAUAAUUUUUUUGAGAAAUAAUUCCUUUUUGAGAAAUCCCCCAAAAUGGAGUCGGACAGUUGGAAAAAAAAUUGUCCUCUAACAAAAUUGCCUGUAACUUUUUUAUUAUUUUAGUUAGGAGGAUGAUUUAAAUAGUGAGGGAUUGAGAGAGGCUUAAGGGUCAGUUUAUGUCUCUAUAAAUUUUUUGAGAAAUAAUUACUUUUUGAGAAAUUGCCCAAAAUCGAGUCAGACAGUUGGAAAAAAAAUUGUCCUCUAACAAAAUUGCCUGUAACUUUUUUAAUAUUUUAGUUAGGAGAGUGAUUUAAAUAGUGAGGGAUUGAGAAAUGUUAAAGGGUCAUUUUAUGUCUCUAUAAAUUUUUUGAGAAAUAAUUACUGUUUGAGCAAUUGCCCAAAAUGGAGUCAGACAGUUGGAAAAAAAAUUGUCCUCUAACAAAAUUGCCUGUAACUUCUUUAGUAUUUUAGUUAGGAGUUUUAGUA
Molecule: long non-coding RNA, 3347 nt
Filed under: Anthonomus grandis grandis
Lineage: Eukaryota; Metazoa; Arthropoda; Insecta; Coleoptera; Curculionidae
Description: uncharacterized LOC126747742
Source: RNAcentral